This 87-nucleotide transfer RNA is filed under the name Bacillota bacterium. Its description in RNAcentral is "tRNA-Leu". It matches the Rfam family "tRNA". From Rfam's summary of the family: Transfer RNA (tRNA) molecules are approximately 80 nucleotides in length. Their secondary structure includes four short double-helical elements and three loops (D, anti-codon, and T loops). Further hydrogen bonds mediate the characteristic L-shaped molecular structure. tRNAs have two regions of fundamental functional importance: the anti-codon, which is responsible for specific mRNA codon recognition, and the 3' end, to which the tRNAs corresponding amino acid is attached (by aminoacyl-tRNA synthetases). tRNAs cope with the degeneracy of the genetic code in two manners: having more than one tRNA (with a specific anti-codon) for a particular amino acid; and 'wobble' base-pairing, i.e. permitting non-standard base-pairing at the 3rd anti-codon position. The record is from RNAcentral. RNAcentral also lists the same sequence under 1 other name. Lineage: Bacteria; Bacillati; Bacillota.
GCCGGAGUGUCGGAAUCGGCAGACGAGCCCGACUCAAAAUCGGGAGCCCGACAGGGCGUGUGGGUUCGAGUCCCACCUCCGGCACCA